This 73-nucleotide transfer RNA is filed under the name Australopyrum retrofractum. RNAcentral describes it as "tRNA-Gln". It matches the Rfam family "tRNA". Rfam says of the family: Transfer RNA (tRNA) molecules are approximately 80 nucleotides in length. Their secondary structure includes four short double-helical elements and three loops (D, anti-codon, and T loops). Lineage: Eukaryota; Viridiplantae; Streptophyta; Magnoliopsida; Poales; Poaceae. The record is from RNAcentral.
UGGGGCGUGGCCAAGUGGUAAGGCAGCGGGUUUUGGUCCUGUUACUCGGAGGUUCGCAUCCUUCCGUCCCAGA